UACGGAAGGCAGCAGUGGGGAAUAUUGCACAAUGGGCGAAAGCCUGAUGCAGCUAUGCCGCGUGUAUGAAGAAGGCCUUAGGGUUGUAAAGUACUUUCAUCGGGGAGGAAAAAACAAAACUAAUAAUUUUAUUUCUUGACGUUACCCGAAAAAGAAGCACCGGCUAACUCCAUGCCAGCAGCCGCGGUAAUACGGAGGGUGCUAGCGUUAAUCAGAAUUACUGGGCGUAAAGAGCACGUAGGUGGUUUUUUUAAGUCAGAUGUGAAAUCCCUGGGCUUAACCUGGAACUGCAUUUUGAAACUGAAAUACUAGAGUAUCGUAGAGGGAGGUAGAAUUCUAGGUGUAGCGGUGAAAUGCGUAGAUAUCUGGAGGAAUACCUGUGGCGAAAGCGGCCUCCUAAACGAAUACUGACACUGAGGUGCGAAAGCGUGGGGAGCAAACAGGGAUUAGAUACC
This 455-nucleotide ribosomal RNA is filed under the name uncultured bacterium. RNAcentral's name for it is "bacterial SSU rRNA". It matches the Rfam family "Bacterial small subunit ribosomal RNA", at positions 340 to 786 of the family's 1533-position model. The record is from RNAcentral.